AGUGUUUUUGCUGGAGCUUUUAGAAGCGCAGAGUUUGCAUUUGUAAAAUAUCGUAUUCACAUCAAGAUUUACUUCAUACAUUUUACAUCCUACUCGUUGUUAAAGUGCAUUAUUUAGGAGUUAAUUUAGCGAGCUACCUUGUGGCGUGGUGGUUUUAAGGCGCCGCUUUCAAAGCGUAAUACUGUUUUAUUUUCAAAUUUUAAAUAUUUUUUUUCAAUUUCUUUUGAGUCUGAAUUUAAGGUUCAUAUAUAGGUCUUAGGAUUAGCCGAUUAGGAUUUAGGGUUUUGUGCGGUAGGUUUAUUUUUUUAAAGAGAAUAUUUAACACUUUAGGACUAAAUUUCCUGACUGCCGGUGUCCCAGUUGAUUUGGACCCCCGUAGAUUUGGACCCCCGGUCCA
Molecule: non-coding RNA, 397 nt
Organism: Paramuricea clavata
Lineage: Eukaryota; Metazoa; Cnidaria; Anthozoa; Malacalcyonacea; Plexauridae
Source: the annotation of a GenBank genome assembly